This 421-nucleotide small RNA is filed under the name Mariprofundus ferrooxydans PV-1. RNAcentral describes it as "cspA thermoregulator". It matches the Rfam family "cspA thermoregulator". The record is from Rfam by way of RNAcentral. Lineage: Bacteria; Pseudomonadati; Pseudomonadota; Candidatius Mariprofundia; Mariprofundales; Mariprofundaceae.
CCCCGGAUAUCUUUUUUCUGGCAUGGUGCUUUCAACUGGGUAUACUGUGUCUCGUAAGAUAUUUGUUUAUUGUGUUUUUUAGGCUGAUUUAGUACUCCUUGAUUGAUCUUAAUAUUAACACUUAUAAAUACAUAUUAUGCACAAAUAAUUAAUUAAGGAUGUUACAAAAUGGCAACAGGUACAGUUAAAUGGUUCAACGAUACUAAAGGUUUCGGCUUCAUCUCUCAGGAUGAUGGUGGCGAUGAUGUAUUCGUACACUUCUCUUCAAUUCAGGGUGACGGCUUCAAGUCUCUGGCUGAAGGUCAGCUCGUUGAGUUUGAUGUUGAGAAUGGCGCAAAAGGCCCACAGGCCUCUAACGUUUUCCCUCAGUAAGGUAAAAACGUUUCGUUCAAACACCCCGCCUGACAGCGGGGUGUUUUUU